UGGAACACGGGCCUCGACUGUUUACCAAAAACAUAGCCCUCGGCCAAUAUGAAAAUAGAUGUAUAGAGGGUGAUGCCUGCCCAAUGGUUGUAUCUAAAAGCGGUUGAUAAAAGUCGACCUCGUAAGGACAAUUGAAUGGCCGCGGUAACACUGACCGUGAUAAUGUAGCGUAAUCAAUAGCCAAUUAAUUGUUGGCCAGUAUGAAUGGCGCCACGAAGGCCCCACUGUCUUAAGGAAAUUCCCAGUGAAAUUGAAUUCGUAGUGAAGAUGCUACGUCCAAUUUGUUAGACGAAAAGACCCCGUUGAGCUUUACUGGGGCACUUACACGGCCCCGGCCUUCCCGUGUUCGGGAACCGGCCGAAUUUAAAUGGGUGGUUUAGACUAUGUGGCAGCCCCCCGCCGGGGCAGAUGAAACCCCACUCCCCCAUGUCAAAGGGGCUAACCCCCCCUUGGGGGGGAGAGUGUAAGUAGGACAGUUUGGUUGGGGCGACCGCCUUUUAAAGAGUAACGAAGGUGCGCUUAAGGUGCGCAAUUAAUGACUGAAGCCUGACUGCGAGGGGGACACCCCGAGCAGACACCCCUAAGCCCGCCCGAAGGGCGGCGGUGGGGUGGGCCAUAGUGACCCGUUAAUUUAGAGUGGAAUAGUUAACGAUCAACGAAUAAAAG
RNAcentral lists this ribosomal RNA (666 nucleotides) under Cladiella tuberculosa. RNAcentral describes it as "partial 16S ribosomal RNA". It matches the Rfam family "Bacterial large subunit ribosomal RNA", at positions 1783 to 2462 of the family's 2925-position model. The record is from RNAcentral. Lineage: Eukaryota; Metazoa; Cnidaria; Anthozoa; Malacalcyonacea; Cladiellidae.